UUCCUAGUAUUAAUUAAAUACUGUUUACAAAUUUGAUUUAUAAACAUGUUAUCUAUGAAGGUGAUCUAUGACUAUAUAUAAAUAACAUUCGUCUUCAUUCUGCAGUAGGUGUUAUAGCUCAAUACGCGUAUACAGAAUGAAUUGGCUAUUAUCAUCCUGUAUAUUUCUUUUGGUUAAAUCAUCCAUCGGUGCCAGCAUUGUUGGUGAAGUGGUACCACCUACUAUAGUUCAACAAGGCGAUUUGCCACCGAAAAUUAUUGAAAAGGAUAGAGGACUAGUGGACCCUGAAGAACUGACAGAUUCAAAUAGAGAGGUAAAGCCACGCCCUCCUAAUGAGGGUCAAACCGAUGUUGAUGGCGAAGUCCAUGACAGGAAGAGACGAUUUGUUGAAGCAAUUAAUCAGCUGUGGCCAAAUCUAGAAGUACCCUGGUAUUUUGAUGAUGCUAGUUUCGGUGCUGGCGCAGCUGGUGAAAAAUAUGAAACAAUAGUGUCUAUGAAAUUAAUGGAAGAGAGAACUUGUUUAAAAUUUAGAGAGAUCAAUUCAACAGAACAUAGUUCUGGAACAACAGCGCAUGCCGUCUUUCGAGAUACUGGUCAUGGCUGUAGCAGUGCAUUGGGAUUUAAAAACGUAUUGACUGGUCAGAACAUAAACUGUUGUUCCCGG
Long non-coding RNA from Patella vulgata (common limpet), 664 nucleotides. RefSeq lists it as uncharacterized. The record is from RefSeq and is a predicted model, not a curated record. The transcript has 5 exons. NCBI's taxonomy places the organism in Eukaryota, Metazoa, Mollusca, Gastropoda, Patellidae.